UACAGAGGUCCCGAGCGUUGUUCGGAUUCACUGGGCGUAAAGGGUGCGUAGGUGGCAUAGAAAGUUUGAUGUGAAAGCUCAGGGCUUAACCCUGAAAUGGCAUUGAAUACUGCUGUGCUGGAGGUUUGGAGGGGGGACUGGAAUUCUUGGUGUAGCAGUGAAAUGCGUAGAUAUCAAGAGGAACACCAGUGGCGAAGGCGAGUCCCUGGACAACACCUGACACUGAGGCACGAAAGCCAGGGGAGCAAACGGG
RNAcentral lists this ribosomal RNA (253 nucleotides) under uncultured bacterium. RNAcentral describes it as "partial 16S ribosomal RNA". It matches the Rfam family "Bacterial small subunit ribosomal RNA", at positions 524 to 776 of the family's 1533-position model. The record is from RNAcentral.